RNAcentral lists this non-coding RNA (30 nucleotides) under Mus musculus (house mouse). Lineage: Eukaryota; Metazoa; Chordata; Mammalia; Rodentia; Muridae. The record is from RNAcentral.
UGUCAACCUUUGAAAAUCUUGUUUGGUGGA